UUUUAAGAUAACAAUUAGGUGACAGUCCUUUUCCAGAAAAAGUUAAAAGAAAGCGCUGCUAGACUAGAGUUUGUCUAUGCUUUACAGACAAUAUCUAUAUCCCUUCCAUGUUUGAACAGCUUCUAAGCUUUUGUUACAUGAACAACAUCCUUCAAACAUCUUCAAAAUUCGAAAUUUACUGUACACUUAAGGUUCUUUUUUAAAAAAAAUAAAAUAAAAUACAUCAGUCAAAUACAGCUAUGACAAAAACUCUGGAGAGAUUAAAAAUUAGGGCAAGUCCAGCUCCCACAAGCAGCAUGAAGUUGCUUUUAGCACUGUACUGUCAAACAAAACAAUCUGAAAGCAACAGUAAGAAUUUGAACAGCUUAACUAUUUAAAGCUAGUACACCUGCAACGAAGAGGAGAAAUAAGAAGUUAAUGCCAAACAGGUUUUUGAACUAUAGCCAAAACAAAAAUCUGAAAUUACCAUACACUAUAAUCCACGGUCAAUGAGAAUAUGUGGCCCACUAAUAAGCACCGUAAAAAAAAAUGAUGAAAAAGAAGGAAAUAAGAGUUAGCAAAUUGUAAAUGUAUGAAUCACUUGUCUAGUAAUAGAUUAAUUAGCAAGGAUGAGUCCUGUUAUUGACUUCCAAAACUGGAAAAGGUAAUCGCAUUCCUUGUAACUUUUGCAGUCACUUGGUACAUAAUUUCCUAUGUCCUGUGUGGUAACCCAACUUAGUAACCUGUUUACAACCACAGUAAUAACAGUUCUCUCAAAGUAAUAUCACUUCUUAAUAAGAGUUCCUAUAGCUAAAUUUAGAGUUUCAUUACUUUGAAGUAACUCUUUUUUCCCCUUGAUUCAUCCUAACAUACCCAAAAGAAAGAAAAAGAAAGAACAGGCUAACAGUGUGCUACAUGUCAAAAUUUGAUGUUAAAAGAAAAAUGUGUCAAAAAAUAUAAUCAAUCUCAUAAGAGUACACUUUUGAGAGAAUGGUAAUCCAAAAGUUCAGUCAUACCAUACCUCAUUCAGCUUUUCUUUACAUGCACUUCAAUAAUGUCUUCAUCUUCCAUGCCAAGGCUGUCCGGGGUUGCUGUUGGACUGACUUUGUCCCCAUCAAAAGAAAAUACUAUGCUUUGAAUAUUAUUAAGUUUAGCCUUAUCCAUAUACAUGUUGAAGAGCCGCUCAAACUUGUCAUCCUUGUACAUGCGAAAUUGUUUAAGUCCAUCCUUGUCUUGAACAGAAAUUACUAUUUUAGCUCUUCCACAUGGAGGCUUUAAUGGUUGCUCAGCAACAGCAUUCAAAGCAGCCUUCAGUGAACUACUAAGUUCUCUUUUUAUGGACUCUUCCACUGCUCGCAACACAUCCACACCUGAUUUUGCAAGUGACUCUAACUCCUGCUUCUUUAACCUCAACUCCUUUAUAGUGGAAUCCUCAACAAGCUGGUUCCGGAAAUCACAGCAAGCUUUGGGCGGAGGAGGUAGCCAAUCCUCCUCGUCCUUGUCUUCACAAUUCACUCUUACUAUUUCCAAGUCAUCAUCGUCAACUUCUUCAACAACAGAUUUUGGGUUCUGAAAAAUUUUGCUUCGUUUUGGACAGGGAACUGGCGACGCAUCAGACCCAUCAUCGUCUAGGCAAACAAUAUUAAGGGGCUGGACGCGCCUGUAAUCGAACAAAGGUUCGAGUUCUUCCAUGGAAUCAUCCAUUUGCAAGUAACGAACACCAAAAUCUCUCCUCUGUCGAGUAUCGCCAGCGUCAGUGUCCCGCCCAAGCACCAAAAGAUUAAUCUUGAUGCGAUUGAUUGGAAUACUAAAUGAUGGAGAAGGAAUUUAAAUCGAUUGUAAUGAGUAAAAGCACUUGAGCUUCUGGUUAGGCUUAGGCGGAUUCACUGCAAC
RNAcentral lists this unclassified non-coding RNA (1872 nucleotides) under Hevea brasiliensis (rubber tree). Lineage: Eukaryota; Viridiplantae; Streptophyta; Magnoliopsida; Malpighiales; Euphorbiaceae. The record is from RNAcentral.